AGAGUUUGAUCAUGGCUCAGGACGAACGCUGGCGGCGUGCCUAAUACAUGCAAGUCGAGCGGACAGACGAGGUGCUUGCACCUCAGACGUUAGCGGCGAACGGGUGAGUAACACGUAAGGAACCUACCUAUAAGCGGGGGAUAACAUUCGGAAACGGGUGCUAAUACCGCAUAGUAAACCGGCUCUCAUGAACCGGUUUGGAAAGGCGGCUUCGGCUGUCACUUAUAGAUGGCCUUGCGGUGUAUUAGCUAGUUGGUGGGGUAACGGCCUACCAAGGCGAUGAUACAUAGCCGACCUGAGAGGGUGAUCGGCCACAUUGGGACUGAGACACGGCCCAAACUCCUACGGGAGGCAGCAGUAGGGAAUCUUCCGCAAUGGACGCAAGUCUGACGGAGCAACGCCGCGUGAGUGAAGAAGGUUUUCGGAUCGUAAAACUCUGUUGUAAGAGAAGAACAAACUGUAGAGUAACUGCUGCAGUCUUGACGGUAUCUUACCAGAAAGCCACGGCUAACUACGUGCCAGCAGCCGCGGUAAUACGUAGGUGGCAAGCGUUGUCCGGAUUUAUUGGGCGUAAAGGGAGCGCAGGUGGUUUCUUAAGUCUGAUGUGAAAGCCCACGGCUUAACCGUGGAGGGUCAUUGGAAACUGGGGAACUUGAGUGCAGAAGAGGAAAGUGGAAUUCCAAGUGUAGCGGUGGAAUGCGUAGAUAUUUGGAGGAACACCAGUGGCGAAGGCGACUUUCUGGUCUGUAACUGACACUGAGGCUCGAAAGCGUGGGGAGCGAACAGGAUUAGAUACCCUGGUAGUCCACGCCGUAAACGAUGAGUGCUAGGUGUUGGAGGGUUUCCGCCCUUCAGUGCCGCAGCUAACGCAUUAAGCACUCCGCCUGGGGAGUACGACCGCAAGGUUGAAACUCAAAGGAAUUGACGG
Molecule: ribosomal RNA, 928 nt
Filed under: uncultured bacterium
Lineage: Bacteria
Description: bacterial SSU rRNA
Rfam family: Bacterial small subunit ribosomal RNA
Source: RNAcentral